Molecule: ribosomal RNA, 255 nt
Filed under: uncultured bacterium
Lineage: Bacteria
Description: partial 16S ribosomal RNA
Rfam family: Bacterial small subunit ribosomal RNA
Source: RNAcentral
UACGUAGGGUCCGAGCGUUGUCCGGAAUUACUGGCGUAAAGAGCUCGUAGGUGGUUUGUCGCGUUGUUCGUGAAAACUCACAGCUCAACUGUGGGCGUGCGGGCGAUAACGGGCAGACUAGAGUACUGCAGGGGGAGACUGGAAAUUCCUGGUGUAGCGGUGGAAUGCGCAGAUAUCAGGAGGAACACCGGUGGCGAAGGCGGGUCUCUGGGCAGUAACUGACGCUGAGGAGCGAAAGCGUGGGGAGCGAACAGG